UACGGAGGUGGCAAGCGUUGCUCGGAAUCACUGGGCGUAAAGGGCGCGUAGGCGGGGAGGUAAGUCGGGUGUGAAAUCCCUCGGCCCAACCGAGGAACUGCGCCCGAGACUGCUUCUCUUGAGUCCCGGAGAGGAAGAUGGAAUUCCCGGUGUAGCGGUGAAAUGUGUAGAGAUCGGGAGGAACACCGGUGGCGAAGGCGGUCUUCUGGACGGUGACUGACGCUGAGGCGCGAAAGCGUGGGGAGCGAACAGG
RNAcentral lists this ribosomal RNA (253 nucleotides) under uncultured bacterium. RNAcentral describes it as "partial 16S ribosomal RNA". It matches the Rfam family "Bacterial small subunit ribosomal RNA", at positions 524 to 776 of the family's 1533-position model. The record is from RNAcentral.